RNAcentral lists this ribosomal RNA (552 nucleotides) under uncultured bacterium. RNAcentral's name for it is "bacterial SSU rRNA". It matches the Rfam family "Bacterial small subunit ribosomal RNA", at positions 355 to 896 of the family's 1533-position model. The record is from RNAcentral.
UGGGGAAUUUUGGACAAUGGGCGACCUUUUGAUCCAGCCAUGCCGCGUGAGUGAAGAAGGCCUUCGGGUUGUAAAGCUCUUUCAGAUGGAAAGAAAACGUACAGGUUAAUACCUUGUGCGGAUGACGGUACCAUCAGAAGAAGCACCGGCUAACUACGUGCCAGCAGCCGCGGUAAUACGUAGGGUGCGAGCGUUAAUCGGAAUUACUGGGCGUAAAGCGUGCGCAGGCGGUUAUGUAAGACAGAGGUGAAAUCCCCGGGCUCAGCCUGGGAACUGCGUUUGUGACUGCAUAACUAGAGUACGGCAGAGGGAGGUGGAAUUCCGCGUGUAGCAGUGAAAUGCNUAUAGAUGCGGAGGAACACCGAUGGCGAAGGCAGCCUCCUGGGCCAGUACUGACGCUCAUGCACGAAAGCGUGGGGAGCAAACNGGAUUAGAUACCCUGGUAGUCCACGCCCUAAACGAUGUCAACUAGUUGUUCGGUGAGGAGACUCAUUGAGGAACCGCAGCUAACGCGUGAAGUUGACCGCCUGGGGNAGUACGGCCGCNAGGUUA